Molecule: non-coding RNA, 89 nt
Filed under: unclassified sequences
Source: RNAcentral
UCAUUGCUGCCACCGGGUAGCCAGAAAUACAACAUUCGUCUGCACAUCGUUAGGUCUUUGAAGAUGUCCAUCACGGGUGUUUCUUUUUU